This 88-nucleotide transfer RNA is filed under the name Anaerocolumna aminovalerica. RNAcentral's name for it is "Clostridium aminovalericum tRNA". It matches the Rfam family "tRNA". From Rfam's summary of the family: Transfer RNA (tRNA) molecules are approximately 80 nucleotides in length. Their secondary structure includes four short double-helical elements and three loops (D, anti-codon, and T loops). Further hydrogen bonds mediate the characteristic L-shaped molecular structure. tRNAs have two regions of fundamental functional importance: the anti-codon, which is responsible for specific mRNA codon recognition, and the 3' end, to which the tRNAs corresponding amino acid is attached (by aminoacyl-tRNA synthetases). tRNAs cope with the degeneracy of the genetic code in two manners: having more than one tRNA (with a specific anti-codon) for a particular amino acid; and 'wobble' base-pairing, i.e. permitting non-standard base-pairing at the 3rd anti-codon position. The record is from Rfam by way of RNAcentral. Lineage: Bacteria; Bacillati; Bacillota; Clostridia; Lachnospirales; Lachnospiraceae.
GGAGAAGUAUCGAAGUGGUUAUAACGGCCCCGACUCGAAAUCGGGUUGUCCAGAAAUGGGCACGUGGGUUCGAAUCCCACCUUCUCCG